AACGAACGCUGGCGGCAUGCCUAACACAUGCAAGUCGAACGAGAUCUUCGGAUCUAGUGGCGCACGGGUGCGUAACGCGUGGGAAUCUGGCCUCGGGUUCGGAAUAACAGUGAGAAAUUACUGCUAAAACCGGAUGAUGUCUUCGGACCAAAGAUGUAUUGCCCAGGGAUAAGCCCGCGUAGGAUUAGCUAGUUGGUGGGGUAAUGGCCUACCAAGGCGACGAUCCUUAGCUGGUCUGGGAGGAUGAUCAGCCACACUGGGACUGGGACACGGCCCAGACUCCUACGGGAGGCAGCGGUGGGGAAUAUUGGACAAUGGGCGAAAGCCUGAUCCAGCAAUGCCGCGUGAGUGAUGAAGGCCUUAGGGUUGUAAAGCUCUUUUACCAGGGAUGAUAAUGACAGUACCUGGAGAAUAAGCUCCGGCUAACUCCGUGCCAGCCGCCGCAGUAA
RNAcentral lists this ribosomal RNA (449 nucleotides) under uncultured bacterium. RNAcentral describes it as "partial 16S ribosomal RNA". It matches the Rfam family "Bacterial small subunit ribosomal RNA", at positions 29 to 523 of the family's 1533-position model. The record is from RNAcentral.